UGCACCCCAGAUGACACACCUCAGAAUCGGGCUUCCUCCUCUCUGGUUCCAGGUGUGUCACCUGAGAACUGCU
Non-coding RNA from Myotis brandtii (Brandt's bat), 73 nucleotides. The record is from Rfam. NCBI's taxonomy places the organism in Eukaryota, Metazoa, Chordata, Mammalia, Chiroptera, Vespertilionidae.